RNAcentral lists this ribosomal RNA (496 nucleotides) under uncultured Streptococcus sp. Its description in RNAcentral is "partial 16S ribosomal RNA". The record is from RNAcentral. Lineage: Bacteria; Bacillati; Bacillota; Bacilli; Lactobacillales; Streptococcaceae.
CACGUAGUUAGCCGUCCCUUUCUGGUAAGAUACCGUCACAGUGUGAACUUUCCACUCUCACACUCGUUCUUCUCUUACAACAGAGCUUUACGAUCCGAAAACCUUCUUCACUCACGCGGCGUUGCUCGGUCAGACUUCCGUCCAUUGCCGAAGAUUCCCUACUGCUGCCUCCCGUAGGAGUCUGGGCUGUGUCUCAGUCCCAGUGUGGCCGAUCCACCCUCUCAGGUCGGCUAUGUAUCGUCGCCUUGGUGAGCCGUUACCCCACCAACUAGCUAAUACAACGCAGGUCCAUCUGGUAGUGAUGCAAUUGCACCUUUUAAGCAAAUGUCAUGCAACAUCUACUCUUAUGCGGUAUUAGCUAUCGUUUCCAAUAGUUAUCCCCCGCUACCAGGCAGGUUACCUACGCGUUACUCACCCGUUCGCAACUCAUCCAGAGAAGCAAGCCUCCUCCUUCAGUCGUUCUACUUGCAUGUAUUAGGCACGCCGCCAGCGUUCG